Molecule: ribosomal RNA, 1464 nt
Filed under: uncultured Enterobacter sp.
Lineage: Bacteria; Pseudomonadati; Pseudomonadota; Gammaproteobacteria; Enterobacterales; Enterobacteriaceae
Description: bacterial SSU rRNA
Rfam family: Bacterial small subunit ribosomal RNA
Source: RNAcentral
AUUGAACGCUGGCGGCAGGCCUAACACAUGCAAGUCGAACGGUAGCACAGAGAGCUUGCUCUCGGGUGACGAGUGGCGGACGGGUGAGUAAUGUCUGGGAAACUGCCUGAUGGAGGGGGAUAACUACUGGAAACGGUAGCUAAUACCGCAUAAUGUCGCAAGACCAAAGAGGGGGACCUUCGGGCCUCUUGCCAUCAGAUGUGCCCAGAUGGGAUUAGCUAGUAGGUGGGGUAACGGCUCACCUAGGCGACGAUCCCUAGCUGGUCUGAGAGGAUGACCAGCCACACUGGAACUGAGACACGGUCCAGACUCCUACGGGAGGCAGCAGUGGGGAAUAUUGCACAAUGGGCGCAAGCCUGAUGCAGCCAUGCCGCGUGUAUGAAGAAGGCCUUCGGGUUGUAAAGUACUUUCAGCGGGGAGGAAGGUGUCGUGGUUAAUAACCAUAGCAAUUGACGUUACCCGCAGAAGAAGCACCGGCUAACUCCGUGCCAGCAGCCGCGGUAAUACGGAGGGUGCAAGCGUUAAUCGGAAUUACUGGGCGUAAAGCGCACGCAGGCGGUCUGUCAAGUCGGAUGUGAAAUCCCCGGGCUCAACCUGGGAACUGCAUUCGAAACUGGCAGGCUGGAGUCUUGUAGAGGGGGGUAGAAUUCCAGGUGUAGCGGUGAAAUGCGUAGAGAUCUGGAGGAAUACCGGUGGCGAAGGCGGCCCCCUGGGACAAAGACUGACGCUCAGGUGCGAAAGCGUGGGGAGCAAACAGGAUUAGAUACCCUGGUAGUCCACGCCGUAAACGAUGUCGAUUUGGAGGUUGUGCCCUUGAGGCGUGGCUUCCGGAGCUAACGCGUUAAAUCGACCGCCUGGGGAGUACGGCCGCAAGGUUAAAACUCAAAUGAAUUGACGGGGGCCCGCACAAGCGGUGGAGCAUGUGGUUUAAUUCGAUGCAACGCGAAGAGCCUUACCUGGUCUUGACAUCCACAGAACUUAGCAGAGAUGCUUUGGUGCCUUCGGGAACUGUGAGACAGGUGCUGCAUGGCUGUCGUCAGCUCGUGUUGUGAAAUGUUGGGUUAAGUCCCGCAACGAGCGCAACCCUUAUCCUUUGUUGCCAGCGGUUAGGCCGGGAACUCAAAGGAGACUGCCAGUGAUAAACUGGAGGAAGGUGGGGAUGACGUCAAGUCAUCAUGGCCCUUACGACCAGGGCUACACACGUGCUACAAUGGCGCAUACAAAGAGAAGCGACCUCGCGAGAGCAAGCGGACCUCAUAAAGUGCGUCGUAGUCCGGAUUGGAGUCUGCAACUCGACUCCAUGAAGUCGGAAUCGCUAGUAAUCGUAGAUCAGAAUGCUACGGUGAAUACGUUCCCGGGCCUUGUACACACCGCCCGUCACACCAUGGGAGUGGGUUGCAAAAGAAGUAGGUAGCUUAACCUUCGGGAGGGCGCUUACCACUUUGUGAUUCAUGACUGGGGUGA